This 518-nucleotide ribosomal RNA is filed under the name uncultured Glomus. RNAcentral's name for it is "SSU rRNA". It matches the Rfam family "Eukaryotic small subunit ribosomal RNA", at positions 569 to 1089 of the family's 1831-position model. Lineage: Eukaryota; Fungi; Glomeromycota; Glomeromycetes; Glomerales; Glomeraceae. The record is from RNAcentral.
AGCAGCCGCGGUAAUUCCAGCUCCAAUAGCGUAUAUUAAAGUUGUUGCAGUUAAAAAGCUCGUAGUUGAAUUUCGAGAUCAAAUUGUUGGUCGUGCCUUGGUACGUACUUGACAUUAUUGGUUUCUCCCUUCUGAAGAACCAUGAUGUCAUUAAUUUGGUGUCAUGGGGAAUCAGGACCGUUACUUUGAAAAAAUUAGAGUGUUUAAAGCAGGCUCGCGCUUGAAUACAUUAGCAUGGAAUAAUGAAAUAGGACGUUUAAUUCUAUUUUGUUGGUUUCUAGGAUUGACGUAAUGAUUAAUAGGGAUAGUUGGGGGCAUUAGUAUUCAAUUGUCAGAGGUGAAAUUCUUGGAUUUAUUGAAGACUAACUACUGCGAAAGCAUUUGCCAAGGAUGUUUUCAUUAAUCAAGAACGAAAGUUAGGGGAUCGAAGACGAUCAGAUACCGUCGUAGUCUUAACCAUAAACUAUGCCGACUAGGGAUCGGAUGAUGUUAAUUUUUAAUGACUCAUUCGGCGUCCG